Long non-coding RNA from Heterocephalus glaber (naked mole-rat), 820 nucleotides. NCBI's taxonomy places the organism in Eukaryota, Metazoa, Chordata, Mammalia, Rodentia, Bathyergidae. The record is from Ensembl.
UGGUACCGAAAAAAAGGGCUGGACAUCCAUGACAUCAUGGAAGUGACACAUCCGGGAUCAGGCAAAAGCAAGGUCAGAAGAUUCAAGUAAACUGCACGAGUGGGUAAUCCAGACCCACGGGUGAUCCAUCACCAUGGCACUGAUGUCUUUCCUCAUUGCACACCUAGUACUCUGUGAUAGUUAACUGUGUCAAUUUGAGUCAGAAACACCCAACUAAAUUAGAUCAGCAUACAUUAGUUCUGGGUGUGACAGAAGGGAUUUACUGAAGACAGAAGACCCACCCUGGAUGUGAGUGGCACCAACCAAUAGGCAUGUCGCCUGAGUGGAAGAAAAGGGGAACAAAGAAGGAAGGCUCACUUCUGUUUCUUCAGAGAAGCUCCAGUCUUCACCUUCACCUUGGACGUCCUUUCCUGGCUUCCGGCACAGACCUUUCAGCCUUCUAUUGUAGACCUUCCUCUUUUCUCCUUUACUACUGGAAUUCAGACAGAGACCACAGCCUCUCUUGCAGCUGGCAUGGAUGUGAGACACAUGACUAAGCUCUGGCCAACUGGGUGUGAGCGGAAGUGAUAUGGGCCACUUCCUGGUCUAGCUCUUAAGUAUCGGGCAAGUCCCCUGCUCAUCUCUGCCCUCCUUUCUCCUGGCUGUGAUGAAGAUUCCACAUCCGGAGCUGAGCUAGAGAUGGAAGCCACAGCAGGCCACCCUGCCUUGGAGACAGCUGACUCCAGACUGAAACCUCUACAAACUGUGAACCAAAAUAAACCUCUCCGCCUUUAACUUCCGGAUGCUGUCUCCUGUAUCAGGCGACCUAGCUCUACUGAAU